UAAAAGGCCUUGGCUCUCUGUGAAUC
Molecule: non-coding RNA, 26 nt
Filed under: Rattus norvegicus (Norway rat)
Lineage: Eukaryota; Metazoa; Chordata; Mammalia; Rodentia; Muridae
Source: RNAcentral